UACGAAGGGGGCUAGCGUUGCUCGGAAUCACUGGGCGUAAAGCGCACGUAGGCGGAUUGUUAAGUCAGGGGUGAAAUCCUGGAGCUCAACUCCAGAACUGCCUUUGAUACUGGCGAUCUCGAGUCCGGGAGAGGUGAGUGGAACUGCGAGUGUAGAGGUGAAAUUCGUAGAUAUUCGCAAGAACACCAGUGGCGAAGGCGGCUCACUGGCCCGGUACUGACGCUGAGACGCGAAAGCGUGGGGAGCGAA
RNAcentral lists this ribosomal RNA (249 nucleotides) under uncultured bacterium. Its description in RNAcentral is "partial 16S ribosomal RNA". It matches the Rfam family "Bacterial small subunit ribosomal RNA", at positions 524 to 772 of the family's 1533-position model. The record is from RNAcentral.